UACGUAGGGUGCAAGCGUUGUCCGGAAUUAUUGGGCGUAAAGAGCUCGUAGGCGGUUUGUCGCGUCGAAUGUGAAAACCCGGGGCUCAACCCCGGGCCUGCAUUCGAUACGGGCAGACUAGAGUUCGGUAGGGGAGUCUGGAAUUCCUGGUGUAGCGGUGAAAUGCGCAGAUAUCAGGAGGAACACCAGUGGCGAAGGCGGCUACCUGGACAGAUACUGACGCUGAGGCGCGAGAGCGUGGGGAGCAAACAGG
This 253-nucleotide ribosomal RNA is filed under the name uncultured bacterium. Its description in RNAcentral is "partial 16S ribosomal RNA". It matches the Rfam family "Bacterial small subunit ribosomal RNA", at positions 524 to 776 of the family's 1533-position model. The record is from RNAcentral.